AUGAGAAUUAAAUGGCCGCGGUAUUUUAACCGUGCAAAGGUAGCAUAGUCACUUGUCUCUUAAUUGGAGGCUUGAAUGAAGGGUUGGACGAGAUAUAAACUUUCUUUAUUGUAAUCAGUUGAAUUUGACUUUUGAGUCAAAAGGCUUAAAUAUAUUUAUAGGACGAGAAGACCCUAUAGAAUUUUAUAUUUUUAUUUUAAUAAUUUAUUUGUUUAUAAUUAAAUUUUUUUUAUAAAAAUAUUUUGUUGGGGCGAUGGGAAGAUUUUUUUAACUCUUUUUUAUUUAAUACAUUGAUAUAUGUUUUUUUGAUCCUUUUUUAGAGAUUAAAAGAUUAAAUUACCUUAGGGAUAACAGCGUAAUUCUUUUGGAGAGUUCUUAUCGAUAAAGGAGUUUGCGACCUCGAUGUUGAAUUAAGAUAAG
Molecule: ribosomal RNA, 420 nt
Filed under: Belostoma angustum
Lineage: Eukaryota; Metazoa; Arthropoda; Insecta; Hemiptera; Belostomatidae
Description: partial 16S ribosomal RNA
Rfam family: Archaeal large subunit ribosomal RNA
Source: RNAcentral